GACGAACGCUGGCGGCGUGCCUAAUACAUGCAAGUCGAGCGGACCACUUCGGUGGUCAGCGGCGGACGGGUGAGUAACACGUGGGCAACCUGCCUGUAAGACUGGGAUAACACCGGGAAACCGGUGCUAAUACCGGAUAAUCCUUCUCUUCUCAUGACGAGAAGCUGAAAGACGGUUUCGGCUGUCACUUACAGAUGGGCCCGCGGCGCAUUAGCUAGUUGGUGAGGUAACGGCUCAACAAGGCAACGAUGCGUAGCCGACCUGAGAGGGUGAUCGGCCACACUGGGACUGGGACACGGCCCAGACUCCUACGGGAGGCAGCAGUAGGGAAUCUUCCGCAAUGGACGAAAGUCUGACGAAGCAACGCCGCGUGAGCGAUGAAGGCCUUCGGGUCGUAAAGCUCUGUUGUCAGGGAAGAACAAGUACCGGAGUAACUGCCGGUACCUUGACGGUACCUGACCAGAAAGCCACGGCUAACUACGUGCCAGCAGCCGCAGUAA
Molecule: ribosomal RNA, 500 nt
Filed under: uncultured bacterium
Lineage: Bacteria
Description: partial 16S ribosomal RNA
Rfam family: Bacterial small subunit ribosomal RNA
Source: RNAcentral